Molecule: long non-coding RNA, 279 nt
Organism: Triticum aestivum (bread wheat)
Lineage: Eukaryota; Viridiplantae; Streptophyta; Magnoliopsida; Poales; Poaceae
Exons: 4
Source: RefSeq, a predicted model, not a curated record
AGCCUGCCAUCUUCAAGUCAAUGCGAGGGAACUUCUUUAGGGGAACCAUGUAAGGCAUCAUUAUCAACCUGGCUGGUGGAUAUUGUUGAUGAAUCUGUGAAAGCUGGUAUACACCGCCGAGUUGUUUGACAAGAGCACCCAUUAGAAGAUUCCUGCAACGAAAGCUUGCUACAAGCAGUGGCAUUGCAACUCUCAUUAAAAUCCUGAGCUCCUGGUCGAGUGCUGGUCACGGUGUUUCCACUUGUGCUUCUCAGUCUCAGCUGAGGGACAUCUAAUUAG